This 548-nucleotide ribosomal RNA is filed under the name uncultured bacterium. RNAcentral describes it as "bacterial SSU rRNA". It matches the Rfam family "Bacterial small subunit ribosomal RNA", at positions 353 to 896 of the family's 1533-position model. The record is from RNAcentral.
AGUGGGGAAUAUUGGACAAUGGGGGCAACCCCGAUCCAGCCAUGCCGCGUGUGUGAAGAAGGCCUUCGGGUUGUAAGGCACUUUCAGUCGUGAGGAAGGCUGUUUGUUGAAUAGACAGGCAGAUUGACGUUAACGACAGAAGAAGCACCGGCUAACUCCGUGCCAGCAGCCGCGGUAAUACGGAGGGUGCGAGCGUUAAUCGGAAUUACUGGGCGUAAAGCGCAUGCAGGUGGUUUGAUAAGCCAGAUGUGAAAGCCCGGGGCUCAACCUCGGAAUCGCAUUUGGAACUGUCAGACUGGAGUCUUGGAGAGGGAAGUGGAAUUUCCGGUGUAGCGGUGAAAUGCGUAGAGAUCUGAAGGAAUACCGGUGGCGAAGGCGGCCCCCUGGACAGAUACUGACACCCAGAUGCGAAAGCGUGGGGAGCAAACAGGAUUAGAUACCCUGGUAGUCCACGCUGUAAACGAUGAUUACUGGUUGUUUGCGAUACACAGCAAGUGACUGAGCGAAAGCAUUAAGUAAUCCACCUGGGGAGUACGUCGGCAACGAUG